UAAAAAAUGGAAAUGAGUUUUUUUUAACACAGCUUAGCACUGUCAAAGUGAAAACUUGUCUGGUAUUCCACAGUAACAGCUUUACUUACUAUCUUCCCAUUGAUGGCCAUAUAAUUUCCUGCUAGUCGUUUACUUAUACACUUCCUUUUUAUGAUUCUUAAUAGUGGAAUUAACUAACGUAAAAGGGCUCACCAGUAAGGUGUUGCCAUUACUCUCCCACUCUAUGUUUUCCAUCUUGUACAGGACAUCAGUCAUGCCACUGUGGUUCUCUUAUUUAUUGCUAUUCUCCUUUCCUAAUGGAGUUAGUGUUAAAUUGUUGAUUUUCAAGGGGGUUGGCUUCUCCUGAGUACUUUGGUGUAAUAUGUUGCAGAUACUUUCUACACUAUGGUCACGGUAAUUAUUACAGCUGUUUCAAAAAGGUGACUGGUGAGGCCAUUUUAUUUACCCAAAAUAAUUGUUUACGUAAGAUCAACUUUAGAAUCCUCACAUAAAAGUUCUACUC
RNAcentral lists this long non-coding RNA (502 nucleotides) under Bos taurus (domestic cattle). Its description in RNAcentral is "long non-coding RNA NONBTAT020632". The record is from RNAcentral. Lineage: Eukaryota; Metazoa; Chordata; Mammalia; Artiodactyla; Bovidae.